Molecule: ribosomal RNA, 253 nt
Filed under: uncultured bacterium
Lineage: Bacteria
Description: partial 16S ribosomal RNA
Rfam family: Bacterial small subunit ribosomal RNA
Source: RNAcentral
UACGGAGGGUGCAAGCGUUAUCCGGAUUCACUGGGCGUAAAGCGUGCGCAGGCGGUCUGCUAAGAGAGGUGUGAAAUCCCCGGGCUUAACCUGGGAACUGCGCUUCUAACUGGCAGGCUUGAGUGUGGCAGAGGGGGGUGGAAUUCCACGUGUAGCAGUGAAAUGCGUAGAGAUGUGGAGGAACACCGAUGGCGAAGGCAGCCCCCUGGGCUAACACUGACGCUCAUGCACGAAAGCGUGGGGAGCAAACAGG